RNAcentral lists this long non-coding RNA (208 nucleotides) under Hordeum vulgare. RNAcentral describes it as "long non-coding RNA (HVUL_LNC003790)". Lineage: Eukaryota; Viridiplantae; Streptophyta; Magnoliopsida; Poales; Poaceae. The record is from RNAcentral.
GAACACAUAUCAAGUUCACAUGAUUACUUACAACAUGAUUUCUCCCAUGACCUCAAGAACAAAAGUAACUACUCACAAAUGAUAAUCAUGCUCAAGAUCAGAGGGGUAUUAAAUAGCAUAAUGGAUAUGAACAUAUAAUCUUCCACCAAAAAAACCAUAUAGUAAUCAACUACAGGAUGUAAUCAACACUACUAGUCACCCACAAGCA